RNAcentral lists this unclassified non-coding RNA (335 nucleotides) under soil metagenome. RNAcentral describes it as "partial contains 5.8S ribosomal RNA, internal transcribed spacer 2, and large subunit ribosomal RNA". The stretch from base 1 to 120 matches the Rfam family "5.8S ribosomal RNA", at positions 35 to 154 of the family's 154-position model. The record is from RNAcentral.
GAUGAAGAACGUAGUGAAAUGCGAUAAGUAAUGUGAAUUGCAGAAUUCAGUGAAUCAUCGAAUCUUUGAACGCACAUUGCGCCCGCCAGUAUUCUGGCGGGCAUGCCUGUUCGAGCGUCAUUUCAACCAUCAAGCCCCAGGCUUGUGUUGGGGACCUGCGGCUGCCGCAGGCCCUGAAAACCAGUGGCGGGCUCGCUGUCACACCGGGCGUAGUAGAUUUUAUCUCGCUCAGGGCGUGCUGCGGGUUCCGGCCGUUAAAAAGCCUUUUUUACCCAAGGUUGACCUCGGAUCAGGUAGGAAUACCCGCUGAACUUAAGCAUAUCAAUAAGCGGAGG